AUUGAACGCUGGCGGCAGGCCUAACACAUGCAAGUCGAGCGGAUGAAGGGAGCUUGCUCCUGGAUUCAGCGGCGGACGGGUGAGUAAUGCCUAGGAAUCUGCCUGGUAGUGGGGGAUAACGUCCGGAAACGGGCGCUAAUACCGCAUACGUCCUGAGGGAGAAAGUGGGGGAUCUUCGGACCUCACGCUAUCAGAUGAGCCUAGGUCGGAUUAGCUAGUUGGUGGGGUAAAGGCCUACCAAGGCGACGAUCCGUAACUGGUCUGAGAGGAUGAUCAGUCACACUGGAACUGAGACACGGUCCAGACUCCUACGCGAGGCAGCAGUGGGGAAUAUUGGACAAUGGGCGAAAGCCUGAUCCAGCCAUGCCGCGUGUGUGAAGAAGGUCUUCGGAUUGUAAAGCACUUUAAGUUGGGAGGAAGGGCAGUAAGUUAAUACCUUGCUGUUUUGACGUUACCAACAGAAUAAGCACCGGCUAACUUCGUG
Molecule: ribosomal RNA, 484 nt
Filed under: uncultured bacterium
Lineage: Bacteria
Description: partial 16S ribosomal RNA
Rfam family: Bacterial small subunit ribosomal RNA
Source: RNAcentral